Molecule: ribosomal RNA, 253 nt
Filed under: uncultured bacterium
Lineage: Bacteria
Description: partial 16S ribosomal RNA
Rfam family: Bacterial small subunit ribosomal RNA
Source: RNAcentral
AACGUAGGUGGCAAGCGUUAUCCGGAUUUACUGGGCGUAAAGCGUGCGCAGGCGGUUGUGCAAGACAGAUGUGAAAUCCCCGGGCUUAACCUGGGAAUUGCAUUUGUGACUGCACGGCUAGAGUGUGUCAGAGGGGGGUAGAAUUCCACGUGUAGCAGUGAAAUGCGUAGAUAUGUGGAGGAAUACCGAUGGCGAAGGCAGCCCCCUGGGAUAACACUGACGCUCAUGCACGAAAGCGUGGGGAGCAAACAGG